Neofelis nebulosa (Clouded leopard) is the source of this 1937-nucleotide long non-coding RNA. RefSeq lists it as uncharacterized. Lineage: Eukaryota; Metazoa; Chordata; Mammalia; Carnivora; Felidae. The transcript is spliced from 2 exons. The record is from RefSeq and is a predicted model, not a curated record.
CCUGGGGACACAGCAGGCUGAGUCUGGUAGAGGAGGGGCCGCUGCCACCAUCCCCUAAGACCUUCUGAUCUCCAGCAACCCUGGAGCACAAUUCAAUGCGGUCGCGCCUGCCUGUGCCUGGAAUGCCCUUUCUCCGCUCUUCAUCUGGAAAACCCAGCUUUCAAAACCCGGUCGACUCUGCCACUGCCUCUGUGAGUGCCUCUGUUCUGCCCCACAGGUGGCUUCUCAGGUCUGGGCACCCGUGGCCUCUGGCCACACCCCACUGUGGCACCUGUGUCAUCUGCAAAGUUUGAUUUUUGCCUGUCUUUCCCACGGACAGGGGGUUCCUGAGAGGCAGGGAUUGUAUUUCUUUGGCUCUGUCUCUCUAACACCUAGCUAGUGCCUCGCAUAAAACUUAAAAACACCCGAAAUCACACAUAUUUAUGUGUAUGUGUGUAUGUCUACUUGCGUGUGCCUGUUUAGAUGUAUUUUUAAUACGAAAGCUUGAGCAAAUAAAAGGUCGGUGUGAAAGUCAAUUAGGCUCAAGGGCCGGGAGUUUCACAAACAAGGACAGAGAACCUCUGCUUUGCCCUGCAGGCCCCCUACCUGCAAUGCCUUCCAGUCUCCUUCCUCUAUGUGAAUUUAACUGGGCUCAGAACUUGCUUCUUCCAGGGAGCUCUCCCAGCCCCCACCCAGGCAAGGCUGGGGUGGGCCUCCUUUUGUGUUCCCAUAGCACCCUGUGCAUACAUCUAUUGGGGCGCUGAACCCAUGGAAAUUAACUGUUACCCCUUUGCUUUUUGCCAAUCUCUCUAGAACGGAUAGAAGAUGAACAACCAAGGGUAUGCCCCACCAGUCUGACAGCACUGGGGCCCCCCCAGUAGCAUUCCAGCAUUCUCAGGGCGCCUGGGCGGCUCAGUCGGUUGAACAUCCGACUCUUAUUUCAGCUCAGGUCAUGAUCUCACGGUUUGAGGGAUGGAGCCCCAUAUCUGGCUCUGCACUGACAGCAUGGAACCUGCUUGGGAUUCUUUCUCUCUCUCCCUCUCUCUCUGCCCCUCCUCCACACACGUGUGUGCAUGCAUGCACUCUCUCUGUCUCUCUCAAAAUAACUAAAGUGCUUUAAAAAAAAACCAGCAUUCUAGCAUUCUCUAGAAGCAGAGGGGUGGGGGAAUCAUGACACAGAGUAAGAACCCAGCCAGCCCCCUCUCUGCUCUCACCUCGUGUGUCUGUGGAUUCUCUACAAUGCAGCCGUAGUUGAGGGAUUGUGUCCUGUUAGCCUGAAAGACAGACACACCAAAACAAUGACCCGCCUGCUCCAGGGCAGCAAGGUCUGUUUUCUUGCUUUCUUUCUCUCCUCUGCAGCACCUGACACGUAUUUCUGCCACUGACAGGCCUUCAGCAGGGGGAGAACUGACAGCUGCCCUCCCCCUCCCUUCUUUCCAAGCAGCCACAGGGCUCGGGGUCUCCACCGCCACCUCAGCUACUGCUGGGAUUUCUGGCACAUUUCCCUCUUGAUGUCGGUUCCCACUCCAGCUCCCUGGGCUGCCCCUGCCUCCCCGACACGCUGCAUUCCAGGAACUUCUCUGGAUCACCCCCUUUACACCCUCCCGCCUUCCCAGCCCCCUCACCGUGGUGCCAAGGAGCAAGAAAGGGUGAGGCUGGUGUCUGUAGGCAUCCAACAUAGCACUCAAGGGGAAGUCGGAACAGACGUCAGCGUUGAGCACGAAGAAGGCUUCAGGGCCCCCAGCCAGGAUCUGGUCCCGGAAAUGGUAGAGACCACCCCCUGUGCCCAGGGGCGCAAAUUCCUGCAGGUACCUGUCCCCAGGGACCCCAGAGCCAGCUCAGUGAGAUCAAAGGAGGCAGAUAUCCUGAGCCUGGCAUCUGACCCCUCCUGCUCCCAGGAGUACAUUUGCCUAAGGCCAAUAUACUCAGGGAUUCAGAGAGGCCCAAACAAGAAUCCU